GUGACUGGAGAGUCUCGUCCCCCAUCACGCGUGGGAGCACAGCAGUCACCUGGCAGUGCCCCACAGCGCUGGCAGCAGCAGGGCUGGGCUCAGGCAGCGAGGGGCUGCAGCCGCAGCUCGCUGCGAGGGGAGCAGCGGGGAGGAACUCUGUGCCAGUGAAGUGCCUCGCUGCCAGGCAGGACUCUGAGGUGGCAUUUAGUGCCCUGCACAGCACAGCAUUUACAGCUGCUCAGCUGUUGAGCAAAACCCUCCUCUGUCACUCCUUAAGACCCUCGUGCCUUUGCUGAGCUGAAGUCCUCCAGUUCUCCAUCUUCAGUGAAAGGGAAGGAACAGAGGAGAAAGAACGAUGCAUUAAAUAAUAAAACAAUAAAAUACCAAAAAA
Molecule: non-coding RNA, 382 nt
Organism: Lonchura striata (white-rumped munia)
Lineage: Eukaryota; Metazoa; Chordata; Aves; Passeriformes; Estrildidae
Source: RefSeq, a predicted model, not a curated record